UUGUAGGCAGUGUGAAAUAAUCUCUAGCUUGAACAUGUGGUUGUCGUAGACUGAUUUGAAUAGGGCAUUGGUAAGAGUAUCUGCUAACUGGUACGCGAUGCACUAAAAGUCAUGGAUUCUUUUCCUUGUGAUGCAAACGACCAUGAAAGCUGGGUAGAUGAUGAACUUUCUGAUUAGGAGGAGUUCUGUGAUCAUUCUGUUGAUUAGGAUUUCUCUCAAAUUUGAUGUCGAAUCCAACGUUGAUCCGAAAUGUUGCUUUAGUGGGUGACUGGCGUCAUGGAAAAAAGGAAAUUGAUUAAUACGAUAUUGUUAUACAGAAGAGGUUAUGACAAGGGUAGGAUCUCAUAUAAACUCAAACUUGUUUUAAGUGACAACAAUUCGAAGUUUUAUCUCUGUAAUAUUAUGGAAAUCCCCUGUCAUGUCGACUUCUCGGAUGAGAUGACUGUUGCUUUAAGUCUUGCUGAUGGUGCAGUGUUAGUUGUUGAUGCUGUUGAAGGAGUAAUGAUAAGUUCCCUCUCUUACGAUUAAUUCACUUUUAUAUGAUACACAUGAGUGUGGUGGAGCUUGUAUCUAAUAUAUGUUGCUUGUGCCAUUGGUGACAGGUAAAUAUGAAAAGGGUCAUUCGACAUGUGAUUGAAGAACGUAUCUCGAUUGUUCUUGUUAUCAACAAGGUUGACAAACUAAUAACAUAGCUUAAAUUGACUCCAAGAGACACCAACUUCAAAUUAAAUCACACAAUUGAAAUUGUCAACAAUCAUAUUAUAGCUGAUUCGUCUUCAGCUAGAAAUGCACAAGUAGUUGAUUUUGCGUUAGGCAAUGUCUGUUUUGCAAGUGAAGAGAUGCAUGGUUUUUCACACUGCAGUCAUUUGCCGAAGUGUAUGUGAAGCUUUACAUGAAUCCAGAGUCCAAAGGAUAAUUAUUUUUUUUGCAAAAAUUCCAAAAGGGCGAUCGAUUUCAAAAUGAAACCAAAAGGGCAAAAACACAUGCGACCAUGUAACUUGCCUUUUUUAGUUGACGAAUGUCAGUCAACUAUUAAGGGUAAGUCGCAGGCUACAACUAUUAAAGUUGUGGGUGUGUCAAGCUUGUUGUUCUAUACCCAUAAGUAAGGCUUCUCCAGGUUUUUUGGUUCUGAUUGAAGGAGUGGAUGAUGCAAUUAAGAAAACUACUACUCUUUGUAAUUUGGAAACUAAUGAGGAUGUGUACAUAUUUCGGCCUCUA
Solanum dulcamara is the source of this 1218-nucleotide RNA transcript. It is a transcript of the gene named 110 kDa U5 small nuclear ribonucleoprotein component CLO-like, with no coding region annotated. The record is from RefSeq and is a predicted model, not a curated record. The transcript has 3 exons. Lineage: Eukaryota; Viridiplantae; Streptophyta; Magnoliopsida; Solanales; Solanaceae.